Molecule: ribosomal RNA, 465 nt
Filed under: uncultured bacterium
Lineage: Bacteria
Description: partial 16S ribosomal RNA
Rfam family: Bacterial small subunit ribosomal RNA
Source: RNAcentral
GAUGAACGCUGGCGGCGUGCUUAACACAUGCAAGUCGAACGGAAAGGCUCCUGCUUGCAGGGGUACUCGAGUGGCGAACGGGUGAGUAACACGUGGGUGAUCUGCCCUGCACUUCGGGAUAAGCCUGGGAAACUGGGUCUAAUACGGGAUAGGACGAUGUUUUGGUUGCCAUUUGGGAAAGUUUUUCGGUGUGGGAUGAGCUCGCGGCCUAUCAGCUUGUUGGUGGGGUAAUGGCCUACCAAGGCGUCGACGGGUAGCCGGCCUGAGAGGGUGUACGGCCACAUUGGGACUGAGAUACGGCCCAGACUCCUACGGGAGGCAGCAGUGGGGAAUAUUGCACAAUGGGCGCAAGCCUGAUGCAGCGACGCCGCGUGGGGGAUGACGGCCUUCGGGUUGUAAACUCCUUUCGCUAGGGACGAAGCGCAAGUGACGGUACCUGGAGAAGAAGCACCGGCUAACUACGUG